GAUUCUGGCUCAGGACGAACGCUGGCGGCGUGCCUAACACAUGCAAGUCGAACGGACGAGGGGAGCUUGCUCCCCAAGUUAGUGGCGGACGGGUGAGUAACACGUGAGCAACCUGCCCUUCGGAGGGGGACAACAGCUGGAAACGGCUGCUAAUACCGCAUGACACAGCGGGGAGGCAUCUCCCUGCUGUCAAAGAUUUUAUCGCCGAAGGAUGGGCUCGCGUCUGAUUAGAUAGUUGGUGAGGUAACGGCCCACCAAGUCAACGAUCAGUAGCCGGACUGAGAGGUUGAACGGCCACAUUGGGACUGAGAUACGGCCCAGACUCCUACGGGAGGCAGCAGUGGGGAAUAUUGGGCAAAUGGGGCAACCCUGACCCAGCAACGCCGCGUGAAGGAAGAAGGCUUUCGGGUUGUAAACUUCUUUGACGAGGGACGAUAGUGACGGUACCUCGAAAACAAGCCACGGCUAACUACGUGCCAGCCGCCGC
Molecule: ribosomal RNA, 487 nt
Filed under: uncultured bacterium
Lineage: Bacteria
Description: bacterial SSU rRNA
Rfam family: Bacterial small subunit ribosomal RNA
Source: RNAcentral